AGAACGAACGCUGGCGGCGUGCUUAACACAUGCAAGUCGAGCGGAAAGGCCCUUCGGGGUACUCGAGCGGCGAACGGGUGAGUAACACGUGAGUAAUCUGCCCCUAGCUCUGGGAUAGCUCCGGGAAACCGGGAUUAAUACCAGAUAUUACCACUUUAGACAUCUCUUGUGGUGGAAAGAAUUUCGGCUAGGGAUGAACUCGCGGCCUAUCAGCUUGUUGGUGAGGUAACGGCUCACCAAGGCGACGACGGGUA
Molecule: ribosomal RNA, 254 nt
Filed under: uncultured bacterium
Lineage: Bacteria
Description: partial small subunit ribosomal RNA
Rfam family: Bacterial small subunit ribosomal RNA
Source: RNAcentral